RNAcentral lists this ribosomal RNA (1465 nucleotides) under Lactiplantibacillus plantarum. RNAcentral describes it as "bacterial SSU rRNA". It matches the Rfam family "Bacterial small subunit ribosomal RNA". Lineage: Bacteria; Bacillati; Bacillota; Bacilli; Lactobacillales; Lactobacillaceae. The record is from RNAcentral.
AAUACAUGCAAGUCGAACGAACUCUGGUAUUGAUUGGUGCUUGCAUCAUGAUUUACAUUUGAGUGAGUGGCGAACUGGUGAGUAACACGUGGGAAACCUGCCCAGAAGCGGGGGAUAACACCUGGAAACAGAUGCUAAUACCGCAUAACAACUUGGACCGCAUGGUCCGAGUUUGAAAGAUGGCUUCGGCUAUCACUUUUGGAUGGUCCCGCGGCGUAUUAGCUAGAUGGUGAGGUAACGGCUCACCAUGGCAAUGAUACGUAGCCGACCUGAGAGGGUAAUCGGCCACAUUGGGACUGAGACACGGCCCAAACUCCUACGGGAGGCAGCAGUAGGGAAUCUUCCACAAUGGACGAAAGUCUGAUGGAGCAACGCCGCGUGAGUGAAGAAGGGUUUCGGCUCGUAAAACUCUGUUGUUAAAGAAGAACAUAUCUGAGAGUAACUGUUCAGGUAUUGACGGUAUUUAACCAGAAAGCCACGGCUAACUACGUGCCAGCAGCCGCGGUAAUACGUAGGUGGCAAGCGUUGUCCGGAUUUAUUGGGCGUAAAGCGAGCGCAGGCGGUUUUUUAAGUCUGAUGUGAAAGCCUUCGGCUCAACCGAAGAAGUGCAUCGGAAACUGGGAAACUUGAGUGCAGAAGAGGACAGUGGAACUCCAUGUGUAGCGGUGAAAUGCGUAGAUAUAUGGAAGAACACCAGUGGCGAAGGCGGCUGUCUGGUCUGUAACUGACGCUGAGGCUCGAAAGUAUGGGUAGCAAACAGGAUUAGAUACCCUGGUAGUCCAUACCGUAAACGAUGAAUGCUAAGUGUUGGAGGGUUUCCGCCCUUCAGUGCUGCAGCUAACGCAUUAAGCAUUCCGCCUGGGGAGUACGGCCGCAAGGCUGAAACUCAAAGGAAUUGACGGGGGCCCGCACAAGCGGUGGAGCAUGUGGUUUAAUUCGAAGCUACGCGAAGAACCUUACCAGGUCUUGACAUACUAUGAAAAUCUAAGAGAUUAGACGUUCCCUUCGGGGACAUGGAUACAGGUGGUGCAUGGUUGUCGUCAGCUCGUGUCGUGAGAUGUUGGGUUAAGUCCCGCAACGAGCGCAACCCUUAUUAUCAGUUGCCAGCAUUAAGUUGGGCACUCUGGUGAGACUGCCGGUGACAAACCGGAGGAAGGUGGGGAUGACGUCAAAUCAUCAUGCCCCUUAUGACCUGGGCUACACACGUGCUACAAUGGAUGGUACAACGAGUUGCGAACUCGCGAGAGUAAGCUAAUCUCUUAAAGCCAUUCUCAGUUCGGAUUGUAGGCUGCAACUCGCCUACAUGAAGUCGGAAUCGCUAGUAAUCGCGGAUCAGCAUGCCGCGGUGAAUACGUUCCCGGGCCUUGUACACACCGCCCGUCACACCAUGAGAGUUUGUAACACCCAAAGUCGGUGGGGUAACCUUUUAGGAACCAGCCGCCUAAGGUGGGACAGAUGAUUAGGG